Long non-coding RNA from Clarias gariepinus (North African catfish), 192 nucleotides. RefSeq lists it as uncharacterized. The transcript has 3 exons. NCBI's taxonomy places the organism in Eukaryota, Metazoa, Chordata, Actinopteri, Siluriformes, Clariidae. The record is from RefSeq and is a predicted model, not a curated record.
UUUCACAGAGUAUGUGAAAAUUGCCGUAGUUUCUCUUGCCAGUCUUCUCCUGGUCGGGGGUGUCUUCAUUAUAAUGUAUUGCCACAAAAAGAUGAUACAUGACAAGUUGUGUCAAAACCAAGGACAGAGCAGUGAACUUGCAAAUACCGGGAAUAAUGAAGAUUUAGAGCUGGCAAAUCUAACAAUGACAAG